This 236-nucleotide ribosomal RNA is filed under the name uncultured Staphylococcus sp. RNAcentral's name for it is "partial 16S ribosomal RNA". It matches the Rfam family "Bacterial small subunit ribosomal RNA", at positions 104 to 334 of the family's 1533-position model. The record is from RNAcentral. Lineage: Bacteria; Bacillati; Bacillota; Bacilli; Caryophanales; Staphylococcaceae.
GGGUGAGUAACACGUGGAUAACCUACCUAUAAGACUGGGAUAACUUCGGGAAACCGGAGCUAAUACCGGAUAAUAUAUUGAACCGCAUGGUUCAAUAGUGAAAGACGGUUUUGCUGUCACUUAUAGAUGGAUCCGCGCCGCAUUAGCUAGUUGGUAAGGUAACGGCUUACCAAGGCAACGAUGCGUAGCCGACCUGAGAGGGUGAUCGGCCACACUGAAACUGAGACACGGUCCAG